AGUCACUGACAUUAGAUACCCGUGUAGUCCAGGGUGUAAACGCUGCAGACUUGGUGUUGGGAACCCUUCGGGGGUGCUCAGUGCCGGAGAGAAGUUGUUAAGUCUGCUACUUGGGAGUACGUCCGCAAGGAUGAAACUUAAAGGAAUUGGCGGGGGAGCACCGCAACGGGAGGAGCGUGCGGUUUAAUUGGAUUCAACGCCGAAAAACUCACCAGCAGCGACUGUUACAUGAAAGUCAGGUUGAUGACCUUACUAGAUUUUCAG
This 264-nucleotide ribosomal RNA is filed under the name uncultured archaeon. RNAcentral describes it as "partial 16S ribosomal RNA". It matches the Rfam family "Archaeal small subunit ribosomal RNA", at positions 717 to 982 of the family's 1478-position model. The record is from RNAcentral.